AACAGGAUUAGAUACCCUGGUAGUCCACGCCGUAAACGAUGUCGACUUGGAGGUUGUGCCCUUGAGGCGUGGCUUCCGGAGCUAACGCGUUAAGUCGACCGCCUGGGGAGUACGGCCGCAAGGUUAAAACUCAAAUGAAUUGACGGGGGCCCGCACAAGCGGUGGAGCAUGUGGUUUAAUUCGAUGCAACGCGAAGAACCUUACCUACUCUUGACAUCCAGAGAACUUAGCAAAGAUGCUUUGGUGCCUUCGGGAACUCUGAGACAGGUGCCGCAUGGCUGUCGUCAGCUCGUGUUGUGAAAUGUUGGGUUAAGUCCCGCAACGAGCGCAACCCUUAUCCUUUGUCGCCAGCGGUUCGGCCGGGAACUCAAAGGAGACUGCCAGUGAUAAACUGGAGGAAGGUGGGGAUGACGUCAAGUCAUCAUGGCCCUUACGAGUAGGGCUACACACGUGCUACAAUGGCAUAUACAAAGAGAAGCGACCUCGCGAGAGCAAGCGGACCUCAUAAAGUAUGUCGUAGUCCGGAUUGGAGUCUGCAACUCGACUCCAUGAAGUCGGAAUCGCUAGUAAUCGUGGAUCAGAAUGCCACGGUGAAUACGUUCCCGGGCCCUGUACACACCGCCCGUCACACCAUGGGAGUGGGUUGCAAAAGAAGUAGGUAGCUUAACCUUCGGGAGGGCGCUUACCACUUUGUGAUUCAUGACUGGGGUGAAGUCGUAACAAGGUAACC
RNAcentral lists this ribosomal RNA (730 nucleotides) under uncultured bacterium. RNAcentral describes it as "bacterial SSU rRNA". It matches the Rfam family "Bacterial small subunit ribosomal RNA", at positions 771 to 1501 of the family's 1533-position model. The record is from RNAcentral.